CAAAUGUUUAAAAAAAACAAAAAAAACAAACAAAAAAUAAUAAUAAUAAAUCGGUCUUCUCAAAUGUAUUCCAAACAUCAACACAAAAAACAUAAAUCAUUAGACAAGAGUUGUACAACUUCAAGACUAUAACCAUCAAGAACUGUGACAAAACAAGCAAUGCAAAUGUAUAUUUGUUUUUAUAAGCAACAGCCAAGCCCUGUGACAACAUUGAUUCACUUAUGACAAAAUGCAAAAAAACAGCACUCAAAACACUUAAUCUCAGAAAUCAGACAUUGUGACUCGCUUUUGUUUGGCAUGUCCCUCCCUGACUGUGUCUUAAUAGUGUUAACUAGCUUCCUUCCCUUGUGUCCUUUCCUCUAUGGCCACUGAUCUGGCAGGGCAUGAUAGGUGACAGCUACACGGAGGUAAACCUCUACACGGAGGUAAACCUCUACACGGAGGUAAACCUCUACACGGAGGUAAACCUCUACACGGAGGUAAACCUCUACACGGAGGUAAACCUCCACACGGAGGUAAACCUCCACACGGAGGUAAACCUCCACACGGAGGUAAACCUCCACACGGAAGUAAACCUCCACACGGAAGUAAACCUCCACACGGAGGUAAACCUCCACACGGAGGUAAACCUCCACACGGAGACGGAGGUACACCUCCACACGGAGGUACACCUCCACAUGGAGGUCACACGGAGGUACACCUCCACACAAGAGGUACACCUCCACACAAGAGGUACACCUCCACACAAGAGGUACACCUCCACACAGAGGUACACCUCCACACAGAGGUACACCACACAGAGGUACACCUCCACACAGAGGUACACCUCCAUAAUUGACUAG
Molecule: long non-coding RNA, 842 nt
Filed under: Salmo trutta (river trout)
Lineage: Eukaryota; Metazoa; Chordata; Actinopteri; Salmoniformes; Salmonidae
Description: lncRNA (ENSSTUG00000033905.1)
Source: RNAcentral